This 503-nucleotide ribosomal RNA is filed under the name uncultured bacterium. RNAcentral describes it as "bacterial SSU rRNA". It matches the Rfam family "Bacterial small subunit ribosomal RNA", at positions 28 to 518 of the family's 1533-position model. The record is from RNAcentral.
GACGAACGCUGGCGGCGGGCUUAACACAUGCAAGUCGGACGCUCCGGUUUUGGCCGGGGCGUGGCGCACGGGUGCGUAACACGUAGGUAACCUGCCCUCGAGUGGGGAAUAACCCCGGGAAACCGGGGCUAAUACCGCAUACAGACUGGGAGCUGCAUGGCUCUCAGUUGAAAGCCGUGCACCGGUGACGGUGCGGGCGCUCGGGGAUGGGCCUGCGGCGGAUUAGGUAGUUGGUGGGGUAAGGGCCUACCAAGCCUGCGAUCCGUAGCUGGUCUGAGAGGAUGAUCAGCCACACUGGCACUGAGACACGGGCCAGACUCCUACGGGAGGCAGCAGUGAGGAAUUUUGCGCAAUGGAAGGCAACUCUGACGCAGCCACGCCGCGUGCAGGAGGACGCCCCUACGGGGUGUAAACUGCUUUUCUGCGAGAAGAAGGCCUUGCUUUGGGCAGGGUGUGACGGUAUCGCAGGAAUAAGCACCGGCUAACUCCGUGCCAGCAGCCGC